Molecule: non-coding RNA, 88 nt
Filed under: Syntrophotalea carbinolica DSM 2380
Lineage: Bacteria; Pseudomonadati; Thermodesulfobacteriota; Desulfuromonadia; Desulfuromonadales; Syntrophotaleaceae
Description: pan motif
Rfam family: pan motif
Source: RNAcentral
GGCCCGGAACAUGAGCCGGAGCCAAAAGAUCGCCGCCUCGUUCAGCCAAGACUUAUACCGCCUGGAUCCAUCGGACCGGGACGGAAGG